Molecule: ribosomal RNA, 503 nt
Filed under: uncultured bacterium
Lineage: Bacteria
Description: bacterial SSU rRNA
Rfam family: Bacterial small subunit ribosomal RNA
Source: RNAcentral
GACGAACGCUGGCGGCGUGCCUAAUACAUGCAAGUCGAACGGUCUUUUCUAUGGAAGCUUGCUUCCGCUGAGAAGAUAGUGGCGAACGGGUGAGUAACACGUGGGUAACCUGCCCAUAAGAGGGGGAUAACAUCCGGAAACGGGUGCUAAUACCGCAUAGUUUUCUUGAUCGCAUGAUUGAGAAAGGAAAGACGGCCUUUGUGCUGUCGCUUAUGGAUGGACCCGCGGCGUAUUAGUUAGGGGGUUGUGAGGUAACGGCUCACCAAGACGAUGAUACGUAGCCGACCUGAGAGGGUGAUCGGCCACAUUGGGACUGAGACACGGCCCAAACUCCUACGGGAGGCAGCAGUAGGGAAUCUUCCGCAAUGGACGAAAGUCUGACGGAGCAACGCCGCGUGAGUGAAGAAGGUUUUCGGAUCGUAAAACUCUGUUGUCAGAGAAGAACAAGUUGGAGAGUAACUGCUCCAGCCUUGACGGUAUCUGACCAGAAGCCACGGCUAACU